CAGUCGCCGCGGUAAUACGUAGGGUGCGAGCGUUAAUCGGAAUCACUGGGCGUAAAGCGUGCGCAGGCGGUUUGUUAAGACAGAUGUGAAAUCCCCGGGCUUAACCUGGGAACUGCAUUUGUGACUGGCCGGCUAGAGUAUGGCAGAGGGAGGUGGAAUUCCACGUGUAGCAGUGAAAUGCGUAGAUAUGUGGAGGAACACCGAUGGCGAAGGCAGCCUCCUGGGCCAAUACUGACGCUCAUGCACGAAAGCGUGGGGAGCAAACAGGAUUAGAUACCCGUGUAGUCCCUGUCUCUUAUAC
This 301-nucleotide ribosomal RNA is filed under the name uncultured bacterium. RNAcentral's name for it is "partial 16S ribosomal RNA". It matches the Rfam family "Bacterial small subunit ribosomal RNA", at positions 509 to 807 of the family's 1533-position model. The record is from RNAcentral.